CUUGUGUAACACUUACAAGUCUUUUGUAGACGAAACGCGCGUCUGGCGUAAAUACAAAAUGUAAUCCUAGUAUCUAAGAUGAGUUUGUGAUAUUCAUUCUAAGGGAUUUUCUGGGUUUUUUUUAACAAACUGUUUUAAUUGAUAUCAUAUCUUUUAAUUUAAGCGAUCUGCAAAACAAUGAAAUAUCAACAAUAGAAUCUCGCACCUUUAUGGAUCUUCCAAGUCUAUAUUAUUU
This 235-nucleotide long non-coding RNA is filed under the name Mytilus galloprovincialis (Mediterranean mussel). The record is from RNAcentral. Lineage: Eukaryota; Metazoa; Mollusca; Bivalvia; Mytilida; Mytilidae.